AUCCAGCUGACGAGUCGCAAAUCAGAGGAAACGAGCGUCCUGGAU
Molecule: non-coding RNA, 45 nt
Filed under: Schistosoma curassoni
Lineage: Eukaryota; Metazoa; Platyhelminthes; Trematoda; Strigeidida; Schistosomatidae
Source: RNAcentral